GCCCGAGUGGUGAAAUUGGUAUACACGACGGAUUCAAAAUCCGUUGUCGCAAGACGUGCCGGUUCAAGUCCGGCCUCGGGCACCA
Molecule: transfer RNA, 85 nt
Filed under: Photobacterium lipolyticum
Lineage: Bacteria; Pseudomonadati; Pseudomonadota; Gammaproteobacteria; Vibrionales; Vibrionaceae
Also listed under: 2 other names
Description: tRNA-Leu
Rfam family: tRNA
About the family: Transfer RNA (tRNA) molecules are approximately 80 nucleotides in length. Their secondary structure includes four short double-helical elements and three loops (D, anti-codon, and T loops).
Source: RNAcentral